AAAGAAACAAGCACUAAUGUUUGCAUUUAACUAAGAGUUGUUCAAAGCAACUCUUAUUUCUUCAUACAACAAUUUGUAAGUGAAGAAUCAUGGCAUAUAAAGUGUCCAUGCCAUUGUGCUUUCUUCUCAAGUUCUUUGUUCAUUUAACAAAGAAACAAGCACUAGUGUUUGCAUUGACUAAGGGUUGUUCAAAGCAACUCUUAUUUCUUCAUACAACAAUUUGUAAGUGAAGAAUCAUGGCAUAUAAAGUGUCCAUGAUUGUGCUUCUUCUCAAGUUCUUUGUUCAAUUUAACAAAGAAAACACUAGUGUUGCAUUGACUAAGGGUUCUUCAAAGCAACUCUUAUUUCUUCAUACAACAAUUUGUAAUUGAAGAAUUAUGACAUUAAAAGUGUUGUCCUCUUUAUGAUAGACUUUUUCUAACAUAUUCUUCUAAUGAUACUGUUGGUUAUUUUAAAUAUUUUAAUAAUAUUUUAUUUUAAAGAUUCAAAACUUAUUAUUUAUUUUAUUUUAAUUAUUUAUAAUAUUUAAGAGUUGUGUUUUAUUUGAAGAGUCAUAUUCCUUUUAAAAGGGUGUGAGAAGUUCUUUAAAUAAGAAACCUCAUACAUAAAACAUAUACGCUUAAAAACUUUUCUGUCUCCCUCAAUUCUCACAUCUCUGUCAUUCUAUUUACAUUCCUACUUCAUAAUUCUUGGGCAAUUGAUCACUACUUGACAAUUCCGUCUGCCGUUGACGUGCAUAUCGGAUCAGACAUCCUGUGAGGCUUUGGGUUGUAUCUUGGAGUUGUAGGCACCGCCAUAACCUGCACGUAGGGAGGCGUCUACGGCUUUAGGGCAGCGACAUCGCACCUCUCUUUGGUUCACAGGCCAGAUUUUCUUAUUCCUUUUUUCUCAAUUUAAAUUUCAUAAGUUUGAUAGUGAUUAUACAUUUGAUUUGAUAUAUUUGAUCAUAUAAAUAAUUGGUAUAUUUCUGCAAUAUAUUUCACAAUCUAAAGCCGUAUUAGUGUGAUAAUAUAAUUGCAAAUUUUACAAUCUAUUUUUACAGUACCUUGAAAGCCAUAUUGAAAGUGGGAUUUUAGGGUUAUGUUGUUCAUCGUUGCUUUAUUGACUCUCUGCACAUAGGAAGGUUAACCUUGCCUUAGUUUGAAUCCUUUAUUCUCUGCAUCUUUGAAUAUUUUAGGAUAUUAUAAAUUUUUUUUUAAUUAUUAUUUUAUUCGGUAGAUAUUAGGAUUCCGUAUAUUAUUCCCUACAUCGUUGAAUUGUCUGGGUAUUAUAGCAUAUUGCUUAUCUGUCUUUUACUCCCUGGGAUUGAUCCUAUAUAGUAUAAGUAGAAUUAAUUCUUAAAAGGGACGGGGUGCCACGAGAGGUGAGGACACCAAGUAACCGCAAGAUACCUGGGCAAAACCCUAAGAGAGAAUAAACAACGGGAGUCGGAAGCACCACCUUCGAACCAACGGAUAAAGACCCUCACUGGUUUAUCCGAAUAAUUAGGGCAUGGUUCAGUUUAGUUUGUGUUUUUGAUAUCUUAAUUAAGUCUUCUAGUUAACUGUUUACUAUUUUCGUAUAAUUGCAUAUUGAUAUAUAACUUGCCCAGUGGUAGUCAAAACUGUUUGUUGUGUUUAAUUUUGUUAUGUUUAAUUCGUAAUUGCAUAUUGAUCUACUACUUGCCCAGUGGUAAACUGGUAAUUGAAUCUGUUUAUCAUAUUUGAUUUGUAACUGAACAUUGAUAUAUUAUUUGCUCUAAGGUGCUUUUAUCAAAUCUGUUUGUAGUUACUACUAUUAAUUGAUCUAAGGAUAUUAUACAAUAGUAUAGUUCAUACUAUAUGUGUUGAAACCUUUGAGUGACAAACUUGAUUUAAUUUCUACAGUGUUGUAGCAUUCUUAUUUCUCUCUCACUUAUUACUAGUCAAUAUUACAUAAAAAAUGGCAAGCCUAGAAGAAGCCAAUAGUGUUAAGCCUGAAAAAUUUAGUGGCCAUAAUUUCCGUAGGUGGAAAAAACAAGUGAAAUAUUGGUUAACUGUCUUAGGACUUGUAUCCGCACUUGAAGAAUCUCAAUCACACAAGGAUUCCUCUUCUAAAGAGUCAUCUUCUAAACUAACCCCUGAACUCAUAGAAUACCAUUGUCACAAUAGAAUCUUAAGUGCCCUUUUCUGAUCAUCUCUAUGAUGUUUAUCAUGCUACUACAUCCACCGCCAAAGAACUUUGGGAAACUUUAGAAGCGGAAUAUGGAAUUGUAGAUGCUGGGAUGGAUAGGUUCACAGUCUCAAACUUUAAUGAUUAUAAGAUGGUAAAUAAUAAGUCUGUGGGGGAACAAAUACAUGAGUAUCAAGAGCUAUUAAGAGGAGUUGAAAAGAGAAAGGAACGAAGUUUAGUGAGGACUUUAAAGUCUCCUGCCUUAUUGAUAAAUUGCCUCAAUCUGGGAAUGACUUUGCUAGAACCUUAAGGCAUAAACAAGGAGAAUUUACUUUGGUUCAAGUCAUAAAUUCAAUUAGGAUCGAAGAGAAGCAUAGGUCAAGCCAAAAGAAGGAAACCGAAAGACAAACAACUGUGAACUUAGUUGAGAAUGACAUCAACAAAUAUGGAAAAAACAAAACCAAGUUCACCAUAAAUAAUAAGAGGAAUUUCAAACCUAGAAGAACAAAUUUUAAAUUCAAAUCACCCAACCAAAAUAAGAACUUUCACAAGACUAAGGAUCAAGGGAGAGAGAAGGGGGUUUGCUUCGUUUGCGGAAGAACCAAUCAUAAGGCUAAGGAUUGCUUCUACAAGAAGACUGAGGAGAACAAGUAUAAGUCAAAUCAUAAUGGUCCAAAAGCCCAAGUGAAUACGCUGAUGGAGCAACAAUCUUCUCAAAUACAUUUUAAGUAUGAUUCCUUUGUCAAUUUUACUUAUGAAAAUAAGGAUUGGUGGGUAGAUUCUGGAGCUAACGUACAUGUCUGUUUUGA
RNAcentral lists this long non-coding RNA (2939 nucleotides) under Malus domestica (apple). RNAcentral's name for it is "long non-coding RNA (MDOM_LNC018711)". Lineage: Eukaryota; Viridiplantae; Streptophyta; Magnoliopsida; Rosales; Rosaceae. The record is from RNAcentral.